RNAcentral lists this ribosomal RNA (287 nucleotides) under uncultured bacterium. Its description in RNAcentral is "partial 16S ribosomal RNA". The record is from RNAcentral.
CUGCUGCCUCCCGUAGGAGUUUGGGCCGUGUCUCAGUCCCAAUGUGGCCGUCCGCCCUCUCAGGCCGGCUACUGAUCGUCGCCUUGGUGGGCCGUUACCCCGCCAACCAGCUAAUCAGACGCGGGUCCAUCCCGUACCACCGGAGUUUUCAAGAAAGGAACAUGCGUCCCCUUCUGUUAUGCGGUAUUAGCACCUGUUUCCAGGUGUUAUCCCCCGGUACGGGGCAGGUUCCCCACGCGUUACUCACCCGUCCGCCACUAAGGCCCGCGCCUUCCGGGUCUGGUAAA